GAUGAACGCUGGCGGCGUGCCUAAUACAUGCGAGUCGAGCGAACGGACGAGAAGCUUGCUUCUCUGAUGUUAGCGGCGGACGGGUGAGUAACACGUGGAUAACCUACCUAUAAGACUGGGAUAACUUCGGGAAACCGUAGCUAAUACCGGAUAAUAUUUUGAACCGCAUGGUUCAAAAGUGAAAGACGGUCUUGCUGUCACUUAUAGAUGGAUCCGCGCUGCAUUAGCUAGUUGGUAAGGUAACGGCUUACCAAGGCAACGAUGCAUAGCCGACCUGAGAGCGUGAUCGGCCCCCCUGGCACUGAGCCACGGUCCAGACUCCUACGUGAGGCAGCAGUAUGGAAUCUUCCGCCACGGGCGAAAGCCUGACGGAGCAACGCCGCUUGAGUGAUGAAGGUCUUCGGAUCGUAAAACUCUGUUAUUAGGGAAGAACAUAUGUUUAAGUAACUGUGCACAUCUUGACGGUACCUAAUCAGAAAGCCACGGCUAACUACGUG
RNAcentral lists this ribosomal RNA (497 nucleotides) under uncultured bacterium. Its description in RNAcentral is "partial 16S ribosomal RNA". It matches the Rfam family "Bacterial small subunit ribosomal RNA", at positions 28 to 507 of the family's 1533-position model. The record is from RNAcentral.